RNAcentral lists this ribosomal RNA (253 nucleotides) under uncultured bacterium. Its description in RNAcentral is "partial 16S ribosomal RNA". It matches the Rfam family "Bacterial small subunit ribosomal RNA", at positions 524 to 776 of the family's 1533-position model. The record is from RNAcentral.
UACGUAGGGGGCAAGCGUUGUCCGGAUUUAUUGGGCGUAAAGCGCGUGUAGGCGGCUAGGUAGGUCCGCUGUGAAAACUUGAGGCUCAACCUCAAGAGGUCGGUGGAAACCAUCUAGCUAGAGUCCGGAAGAGGAGAAUGGAAUUCCUGGUGUAGCGGUGAAAUGCGCAGAUAUCAGGAAGAACACCCGUGGCGAAGGCGGUUCUCUGGGACGGUACUGACGCUGAGAUGCGAAAGCGUGGGGAGCGAACAGG